This 506-nucleotide ribosomal RNA is filed under the name Aspergillus fumigatus. RNAcentral describes it as "SSU rRNA". It matches the Rfam family "Eukaryotic small subunit ribosomal RNA", at positions 69 to 577 of the family's 1831-position model. Lineage: Eukaryota; Fungi; Ascomycota; Eurotiomycetes; Eurotiales; Aspergillaceae. The record is from RNAcentral.
GCCAUUUAUACGGUGAAACUGCGAAUGGCUCAUUAAAUCAGUUAUCGUUUAUUUGAUAGUACCUUACUACAUGGAUACCUGUGGUAAUUCUAGAGCUAAUACAUGCUAAAAACCUCGACUUCGGAAGGGGUGUAUUUAUUAGAUAAAAAACCAAUGCCCUUCGGGGCUCCUUGGUGAAUCAUAAUAACUUAACGAAUCGCAUGGCCUUGCGCCGGCGAUGGUUCAUUCAAAUUUCUGCCCUAUCAACUUUCGAUGGUAGGAUAGUGGCCUACCAUGGUGGCAACGGGUAACGGGGAAUUAGGGUUCGAUUCCGGAGAGGGAGCCUGAGAAACGGCUACCACAUCCAAGGAAGGCAGCAGGCGCGCAAAUUACCCAAUCCCGACACGGGGAGGUAGUGACAAUAAAUACUGAUACGGGGCUCUUUUGGGUCUCGUAAUUGGAAUGAGUACAAUCUAAAUCCCUUAACGAGGAACAAUUGGAGGGCAAGUCUGGUGCCCAGCAGCCAA